AUAAACGACUCUCGGCAACGGAUAUCUCGGCUCACGCAUCGAUGAAGAACGUAGCAAAAUGCGAUACUUGGUGUGAAUUGCAGAAUCCCGUGAACCAUCGAGUUUUUGAACGCAAGUUGCGCCCGAAGCCAUUCGGCCGAGGGCACGUGCUGCCUGGGCGUCACG
Molecule: ribosomal RNA, 165 nt
Filed under: Carduus nutans
Lineage: Eukaryota; Viridiplantae; Streptophyta; Magnoliopsida; Asterales; Asteraceae
Description: 5.8S ribosomal RNA
Rfam family: 5.8S ribosomal RNA
About the family: 5.8S ribosomal RNA (5.8S rRNA) is a component of the large subunit of the eukaryotic ribosome. It is transcribed by RNA polymerase I as part of the 45S precursor that also contains 18S and 28S rRNA.
Source: RNAcentral